This 944-nucleotide long non-coding RNA is filed under the name Triticum aestivum (bread wheat). RNAcentral describes it as "long non-coding RNA (TAES_LNC015851)". Lineage: Eukaryota; Viridiplantae; Streptophyta; Magnoliopsida; Poales; Poaceae. The record is from RNAcentral.
AAUAUAAUUAAAACAUUUGACUGUGUAUGUAGAGAUAAAUAUGCUAGCAGGAAUCAACUACGAGUCUUGACUCUUGAGGGACAUGGUACAAGAUAAAUUUACCAAUAAAAUCACUAGCUGAGGGGUACACAUUUGCAAAGAUAGCACAAACAAGUUGGUACAUUUGAAACGAUAUAAUAUGUUUUUGGGUUAAGGAACUACACUGAAAGUAAAGGCAAACCACAGACAGCGGAACAUUUGCAUCUAACCAAAAGAACACGACACAUCACGAUGAUAAACCAGGUCCAACUAGCUGAGAUAGCGCAAACAAGUUGUACAGCUCAUUCCAUGCUGUUUCUAAGAGGAUUCUUGUAAGAUUGAAAACAGUGCAACGUUGCACUUGCAGAGACAAAAGACCAGACUUUAGCCUUGCACAAUUAUAUUGCAUUCAUCAUCAUCAUUGGCUGGAAAGUGCCAAAGCCAUGUCUCGAAACUAAAGCCUGUACAUAUACCAGACAAGGUAGGAUCAGUUGAGUGUGAUAUCAUCUCGAGAAAACAUUGUGCAAAAAAUUGACGAGUGUAUAGUUACAGAAUGCAUAAUAUCUGUAGCUUAUCUAAUUAUUCCAAUGUUGUGGAUAUGUGAUUGAGACAAAACUUUGGCUGAUCACAUAACGACUACUUCCCUAGCAAUUACAUCUACCAUUUUCACCCCAUCACAGUAAGGAUGUCUAAACUGACCGGCCACAAGUACAAAAAUAUGUGCUGCUAGUUAACUUACAUGUGGAUAGUUGCGAAACCAGUUUGAUGCUAAUCUGCAUGGCACUGCCAAAACGACUCAACAACUUUAAAAUCCUGCAAACCCUCCCAUCAACAUCUCUGCAUCUGAUUUCCACAAUAUUAAGAUGUUUGGAUAUUGCAGGUAAUUUUUCCAUUGGAUAGCUCAGCACAGUAAUAAACUCCCGUCU